Molecule: ribosomal RNA, 245 nt
Filed under: Clostridium botulinum
Lineage: Bacteria; Bacillati; Bacillota; Clostridia; Eubacteriales; Clostridiaceae
Description: partial 23S ribosomal RNA
Rfam family: Bacterial large subunit ribosomal RNA
Source: RNAcentral
UGACCCCGUAACUUCGGGAGAAGGGGUGCCUGCGAGAGCAGGCCGCAGAGAAUAGGCACAAGCAACUGUUUAACAAAAACACAGGUCUCUGCUAAAGCGAAAGCUGAUGUAUAGGGGCUGACGCCUGCCCGGUGCUGGAAGGUUAAGGGGAACACUUAGCGUAAGCGAAGGUGUGAACUUAAGCCCCAGUAAACGGCGGCCGUAACUAUAACGGUCCUAAGGUAGCGAAAUUCCUUGUCAGGUAA